RNAcentral lists this long non-coding RNA (753 nucleotides) under Androctonus crassicauda. The record is from RNAcentral. Lineage: Eukaryota; Metazoa; Arthropoda; Arachnida; Scorpiones; Buthidae.
UAUGGAAACUGGAGAUGGUGAGGAGUCAUCGUUACUCUGUUCGGCACCGGAUGUCUCGACACCAAUGGGGCCAAGGGUCAAGCCUGUACGGCCACGGCCAGCAUAGGCUGCCCUAAUAUCUGCGAGGAAUUAUUUGAACUGUUUCCCAGGUCUGGAGUACGCUGACAGGAUCGACUUUGAUUUACAUAGUCGCAGAUAUACUGCUGGAUGGCCCUGUCAGUACUUAGGGAUCGGAUACGUUUCUGCAAAGAAAAAAAAUUUUUUCUUUGCAGAAACAUAUCCGAUCCCUAUGGUCCCCAGUCAGUACGGAAGGCAGGAAAGAUGAGCUGGUAUGACGCCAUAGCCGCGACUGUAAUGUUGUCUGCUCACCUUAACGUACCGCUUGUGAAUCUCAAUGUUUUGUGUGCGCGCCGCCGAAUUAGAUGGAUUGAUGAACCUGUGGAGAAAAAAAAUCUGUUUAUAAUAGAUGGCCGGGCUUACAUUCACCUGUAAGUGGCGUGGAUGUAUCCAAAUGUUCUGUUAUUGAUUAUCUUCCUGCCUCGGCUUCGCUGGCCAUCACUGUGAUUUACAGUAAGAUGGCCAGCGAAACCGAGGCAGGUACAGUUUCUAUACUGUGGCGCGCAAUCGGCGAUGAUUGUAGAGGCGGCCGCGAUAUAAUGCGCUAUGUAUGCCUACAGUACGCUGCGUGAUUUUUCCACCUGUGGAUGGAAUAUAAAAAGAAUGAGUGGAAAUAGCCCUUACAGGCCCAGGAAU